CCACCAUGUGAGGGUGCAGCAACAAAGUAUCAUCUAUGAAGCAGAGACCAGGUCCUCAUCAGACACUGAAUCGCUGGUGCCUUGAUGUUGGACAUCUCAGCUUCUAGAACUGAAUUGGGCUGUCUCUCUCUCUUUCUCUGGUUGCAUUUCACCAGCUAAGGAGUUGCAUUGGCUUCUGCUCUCCUCUCUUGCUCACCUACAUUGUGAGGUUGCUUCAGUGGCUCCAGCAAAUAGGGAGUGGAGAAUUGGAUUUCAUGAGGUUUGGACAUUCACCAGCAAAGAUAAUGGCGAAAGACGGGAAGAGGGCGUGGAGAGUGCAGGGGAGGGAUUAUAGUUGAGCUGGGUAAGGAGGGAAGUGGGGACAUGGGGAAGGGCACAGGGAAAAGGUGCUACAGGGAUGGCAGAUCCCAGAGGAGCUGAAAGAUUAUGGCUGUUGCAUAUUAGAGGAGUGAGUUGGGAAAACAGGAAGUGAUUGUGGGAGAAGGAGACGUUUGAAAGUUAGAUGACGUACAGAUGCACUGAGUGAUAUUGACGAGGUCCGGGGCCUAAUGCCCUGGGAAUGGGUGGUUGAGGGGAGUAGAGGCGUGGGUGGUUGAGGGGAGUGGAGGCUGUGAUCAUUAGAGAUGAGAUAGCCUGGGAAAGGAGAGGCCAGAAUAUUGAAAGAACCAUCUACAUAGAUACUGAAGUCAUCAAGAACUAUAGCAGGACAUCUGGUAGAGAGGGAGUGGUGAGAAGAGACAUGAGCCAAGAAUGAAGUCCUCACUGACCAAGAGGCUGUAGAUUACCAUGCCGAGAGCAGAGCAGCUGGUGGCUAGAAUUUAGCUAAUUGCAGCUACUGGUUAGGGACAGCGUAGAGCAGAGGUCUGCAAACUUUUUCUGGAAAAGACCAAAAAGCAAAUAUUGUAGGUUUUGCUGGUGAUAUAUGUGAUAGGCAGAAUAAUGCCUCCUCCAAAGAGGUCCACGUCCUAAUCCCCAAAACCUGUGAAUAUGUCCGUUACACGAUAAAAGGGAAUGAAGGUAGCAGAGGAAACUAAGCUUGUUAAUCAACCGGCCUUAAAAUAGGAAGUUUUAUUUUCCAUGGUUGGAGUGGCUCCAAGUUAGUCAUGAGGGUCCUUAAACAUGAAAGAGUGAAGCAGGAAAUUCCAGGGCAGAGCGAUGUGAUGUGGGGAAGGCCUGACUAGCCAUCACUGGCUUGAAAGACAGAAGGAGGCCACAAGCCUUGGAACACGGGCAGCCAAGACAGAUUCUCCCCAAAAGCCUCCAAAAAGGCUUGCAGCCUCUAAUACCUUCCUUUAAACCCAGCGAGACCCAUUUUGGCUCUGACCCCCGGAAAUAAGAUAAUUAUGCAUUGUUUUUAGCCACUAAGUUUGUGACAAUGUGUUACGGCAGCCAUUAGAAAUGAAGGCAUACAGUUUCUGUUGCAGCCCAACUCUGCUGCAGUAGCAAGAAGGCAGCAAUAGGCCAUAUGUAAAUGAAUGGGCAUGGCCAUGUUCCAAUAAAACUUUAUUUACAAAAACAGGCUGCAGGCCAAAUUCGGCAUGUUGCUCAUAAUUUGCCAACCCCAGUGAUAUGGUUUGGAUGUGUGUCCCCACCCAAAUCUAUCUCAUGUUGAAUUGUAAUCCCCAGUGUUGGAGGAGGGGCCUAGUUGGGGGUGGUAGGGUCAUGGGAAUGGACUUGCCCCUUGCUGUUCUUAUGAUAGUAAGAAAUCCGGUUGUUUAAAAGUAUGUAGCACCUCCCUCCCUCUCUUCCUCCUGCUACAGCCAUGUAAGACGUGCCUGCUUCCCCUUCCCCUUCCACCAUGAUUGAAAGAUUCCUGAGGCCUCCCCAGCGUAUAGCCUGUGGAACUGUGAGCCAAUUAAACCUCUUUUCUUUAUAAAUUACCCAGUCUCAGGUAGUUCUUUAUAGCAGUGCAAGAAUAGACUAACACACCCUGGAAUAUACGAUCUCUACAACAAAACACUGUAUGAUAUUUACAAAAAGAGGUGAGUCUUUAUGUAUUUAUUAAUCCAUACACAUUUAAUAGAUAAUAUUAAUACAUAUUUACUAAUACAUAAAGACUCACCUCUUUUUAUAAAUCUCAUAUAGUGAGAUUAAUAAUAUGGACCUAUCUUCAAGAUAUUUUUAAGGGGGAAAGAAAGGUGUAGUGAAGAGUGCUUAUUCUUAUUUGUAUAAAAAACAUAUGUAGCUUAAUACAGAUUCACACACGUAACUAUACAUGCAUAUACAAUUUCUGGAAGGAUACACAAGAAAUAUUUCAGUUGCUCUUCUGAAGAAGGGGACUGUAGGUCUGGGGUGGAGGAAGGGCUUAUGUUUCAUUGUACACUUUUUGUGCUGUUGAAAUCUUUGUGUCUGAACCAUGUACAUGCACUUUUUUUCUGUUAAGUAAUAAAAACGUUAACAAAGCACCUAUUCAAAAGCGACAG
This 2423-nucleotide long non-coding RNA is filed under the name Homo sapiens (human). Its description in RNAcentral is "HSALNT0312464". The record is from RNAcentral. Lineage: Eukaryota; Metazoa; Chordata; Mammalia; Primates; Hominidae.